UAUGCCUUAAAUAAAUUUAACAUGUUCAUGAUUUCGCAUGUUAUGAGAGAUCUUUUAUUCGAGGCUAAAAAAAUGUUGAUCAGUGAUUAAACAAGUUAAGCAUUUUUGCAAGUUGCCGACUUACCUGACACUGAGACAACGGAAACGCAUAA
RNAcentral lists this small nucleolar RNA (152 nucleotides) under Plasmodium malariae. RNAcentral describes it as "small nucleolar RNA snoR26". It matches the Rfam family "small nucleolar RNA snoR26". The record is from Rfam by way of RNAcentral. Lineage: Eukaryota; Apicomplexa; Aconoidasida; Haemosporida; Plasmodiidae.